GUCUACCCCAACCGAUCACCAACAAUUACAACAUUUUUUCAUACACAAGUCAGUUCUGAUUCAUGAAAUCCGCAAAAUUUCUCGGAACUCAUUAGAUAGGUGAGUCGGAACAUAAUGAAAUCUUCCCACCUAACCUAUUAAUCGAAACAGGCUAAGACUGGCAAUAACAUGAUGAUAUAUUCGCUUUGAACAUUUCUGCAU
RNAcentral lists this unclassified non-coding RNA (201 nucleotides) under Hevea brasiliensis (rubber tree). The record is from RNAcentral. Lineage: Eukaryota; Viridiplantae; Streptophyta; Magnoliopsida; Malpighiales; Euphorbiaceae.